GAUGAACGCUGGCGGCGUGCCUAAUACAUGCAAGUCGAGCGAACAGAUAAGGAGCUUGCUCCUUUGAAGUUAGCGGCGGACGGGUGAGUAACACGUGGGUAACCUACCUAUAAGACUGGGAUAACUUCGGGAAACCGGAGCUAAUACCGGAUAACAUUUAGAACGGCAUGGUUCUAAAGUGAAAGAUGGUUUUGCUAUCACUUAUAGAUGGACCCGCGCCGUAUUAGCUAGUUGGUAAGGUAACGGCUUACCAAGGCGACGAUACGUAGCCGACCUGAGAGGGUGAUCGGCCACACUGGAACUGAGACACGGUCCAGACUCCUACGGGAGGCAGCAGUAGGGAAUAUUGCGCAAUGGGCGAAAGCCUGACGGAGCAACGCCGCGUGAGUGAUGAAGGGUUUCGGCUCGUAAAACUCUGUUAUUAGGGAAGAACAACUGUGUAAGUAACCGUGCACAUCUUGACGGUACCUAAUCAGAAAGCAACGGCUAACUACGUG
RNAcentral lists this ribosomal RNA (497 nucleotides) under uncultured bacterium. RNAcentral describes it as "partial 16S ribosomal RNA". It matches the Rfam family "Bacterial small subunit ribosomal RNA", at positions 28 to 507 of the family's 1533-position model. The record is from RNAcentral.